GUCGCAAUAGCUCAGCUGGAUAGAGCAACGGUCUUCUAAACCGUAGGUCGAGGGUUCGAAUCUCUCUUGCGACAUCA
Molecule: transfer RNA, 77 nt
Filed under: Levilactobacillus parabrevis
Lineage: Bacteria; Bacillati; Bacillota; Bacilli; Lactobacillales; Lactobacillaceae
Also listed under: 1 other name
Description: tRNA-Arg
Rfam family: tRNA
About the family: Transfer RNA (tRNA) molecules are approximately 80 nucleotides in length. Their secondary structure includes four short double-helical elements and three loops (D, anti-codon, and T loops).
Source: RNAcentral